Pterulicium gracile is the source of this 86-nucleotide non-coding RNA. The record is from the annotation of a GenBank genome assembly. NCBI's taxonomy places the organism in Eukaryota, Fungi, Basidiomycota, Agaricomycetes, Agaricales, Pterulaceae.
GGGCACAUGGUGUAGUUGGUUAUCACGUUCGCUUUGCAUCGUUGUUUGCUUGCGAAAGGUGUUGGGUUCAAUUCCCAAUGUGUCCA